GAUGAACGCUAGCGGGAGGCCUAACACAUGCAAGCCGAGCGGUAGAGAUUCUUCGGAAUCUUGAGAGCGGCGUACGGUGCGGAACACGUGUGCAACCUACCUUUAUCUGGAGGAUAGCCUUUCGAAAGGAAGAUUAAUACUCCAUAAUAUAUUGAUUGGCAUCAAUUGAUAUUGAAAGCUCCGGCGGAUAGAGAUGGGCACGCGCAAGAUUAGUUAGUUGGUGAGGUAACGGCUCACCAAGACGAUGAUCUUUAGGGGGCCUGAGAGGGUGAUCCCCCACACUGGUACUGAGACACGGACCAGACUCCUACGGGAGGCAGCAGUGAGGAAUAUUGGUCAAUGGGUGCAAGCCUGAAUCAGCCAUCCCGCGUGAAGGACGACUGCCCUAUGGGUUGUAAACUUCUUUUGUAUAGGGAUAAACCUACCCUCGUGAGGUAGCUGAAGGUACUAUACGAAUAAGCACCGGCUAACUCCGUGCCAGCAGCCGCGGU
RNAcentral lists this ribosomal RNA (491 nucleotides) under uncultured bacterium. Its description in RNAcentral is "bacterial SSU rRNA". It matches the Rfam family "Bacterial small subunit ribosomal RNA", at positions 28 to 521 of the family's 1533-position model. The record is from RNAcentral.